Molecule: ribosomal RNA, 692 nt
Filed under: Exiguobacterium sp. NMC-2-4
Lineage: Bacteria; Bacillati; Bacillota; Bacilli; Caryophanales
Description: bacterial SSU rRNA
Rfam family: Bacterial small subunit ribosomal RNA
Source: RNAcentral
AGCGGCGGACGGGUGAGUAACACGUAAGGAACCUGCCUCAAGGAUUGGGAUAACUCCGAGAAAUCGGAGCUAAUACCGGAUAGUUCAACGGACCGCAUGGUCCGCUGAUGAAAGGCGCUCCGGCGUCACCUUGAGAUGGCCUUGCGGUGCAUUAGCUAGUUGGUGGGGUAACGGCCCACCAAGGCGACGAUGCAUAGCCGACCUGAGAGGGUGAUCGGCCACACUGGGACUGAGACACGGCCCAGACUCCUACGGGAGGCAGCAGUAGGGAAUCUUCCACAAUGGACGAAAGUCUGAUGGAGCAACGCCGCGUGAGUGAUGAAGGUUUUCGGAUCGUAAAACUCUGUUGUAAGGGAAGAACACGUACGAGAGGAAAUGCUCGUACCUUGACGGUACCUUACGAGAAAGCCACGGCUAACUACGUGCCAGCAGCCGCGGUAAUACGUAGGUGGCAAGCGUUGUCCGGAAUUAUUGGGCGUAAAGCGCGCGCAGGCGGCCUUUUAAGUCUGAUGUGAAAGCCCCCGGCUCAACCGGGGAGGGCCAUUGGAAACUGGAAGGCUUGAGUACAGAAGAGAAGAGUGGAAUUCCACGUGUAGCGGUGAAAUGCGUAGAGAUGUGGAGGAACACCAGUGGCGAAGGCGACUCUUUGGUCUGUAACUGACGCUGAGGCGCGAAAGCGUGGGGAGCAAACA